UUGUUAUUUCUGUAUUUCAAUUAUAUGACUGUUUUGAUUUCUUCCUAAUUGUAUUUUGUCUCUUUAAGCACUUUUUGUUUAAGCUCAUGCAAAAUGAAGAAGGUGAUGGAUUUCGUUUGUGUGUGACUCCCAUAAAAGAAAGAAGAACAUGCUGCAAUAAAUGAAAGGAGUUGUAACGUCAAAAACUGAUAUGAAAGCAACUAAAGCUGUGAUGCAAAUCAAUAGUGGAGCUAAAUGACAAUGAGGGGUAAAUUACUCUGACAAAAGCGUACAAAGAUUUCUUAGUUUGUUGUAAUAUUAUGGAAAAUUUCCAGAGAAUUUAUUUCAGUGAUAUUUUUUUCGUGUAGAAAUUAUUAGCAGCUUAUGUACUGUUUGAAGAAAGAAUUAUUUCAUUUCAACAUGUUUUUUAAAAACAUUUCUAACUUUUGAAAAAUUCCCAGGAAUUUUUAUAAAUUGGUCCGAAAAUAUGUGUUUUAUGACUGUAAUGUUUGUUGAAUUUUUGGUGAUUUUCACCAAAAGUACGAUAAUCUGGAGUAAUUUACCCCGCGUUGAUGACAAGAAGCCAAUAGACUCAAAAACAGUGAAUUCGUUUCGACCAUCUAAGCAAUGGAGUUAAAGAAAAAUAUGUUGUGAACAUCUCAGCAGUUGGACUAAAUUACUAUUUCAAUGAAAUGUUGAUGUUAUUGGGGAAGAAACUGGGCUAAGUCUUUAGAGAUUAUGGACUAUAGAUGAAAAACAGAAUUGAUAUUGCUUUUGAGAUGACACAUCGUCAAAGAUUGUGAGCAGUGGAGUUCAAUGUAAUGAACAUUGGUGCGCUACAAAUGCAAAAGAAGUGUGUUAGAAAGAAGUAAAAGUCAAUGGACUCUGGCUGCAAAUGGAGUAAUUGGGAGAAAAUUGCACGUUGUGUCAGCAGAUAAUGGACAACAAACAUGGAGCUCUCUGCGGUUCACGUAUUGCCUCUAUGUUGUCAAGUACAUCUGAAAGAGUGUUGUUUGAUUGCAAAGGUUGAUCUGCUCUCUGACUUUGAGAUGUGCUAGCUGCUUGUACAUGAUCAGAGAGAUCAAAAGAAAUCAUGUGACGUACAUCGGUUUGCUGCAGACGGAGUUUUAUCCUAUUAUUUUUAAUGCAUAUCAUGUUUGCAACUGCAUUUUGAUACUCGUUGAAUCUGUCAAAAGCGGCCAGGUCAAAAUCUUGAGGUUUAGGACCAAAAUAAUGAAGACGUACAUGUGAAUCAUGAGAAAGAAAUCAAAAUUGUUAGAACCCCUUUCUUUUGCUUCUAAAAUGUUAUCGUGUAACAAGACCAGUUGUAUAGUGGGAUGAGUUGAUUGUAAAUAUAUUUUUUUCAACAUGGUUCGUUGACAUUGAGUGUAAAAUGUAUUCUCGGACAGCGUCAAAGGAAUUGUCUUGGAGGCAAAAUGAUCAAAAAUAGGAUUUAGGGUCAUGAUAGAACGACCUUGCUUACAUACUUUAUUAAACGUCGAUUGCAAAGUUUUGUAAUAACUUUUCAUAUUUUUAAUAGCCUUGGGUAAUUUUUCUUGUGUCUUUGAUCUUUCUUUUAUCAUUAAAUCUUUGAACAACA
Xenia sp. Carnegie-2017 is the source of this 1579-nucleotide long non-coding RNA. RefSeq lists it as uncharacterized. The record is from RefSeq and is a predicted model, not a curated record. Lineage: Eukaryota; Metazoa; Cnidaria; Anthozoa; Malacalcyonacea; Xeniidae. The transcript has 5 exons.